UACGAAGGGGGCUAGCGUUGCUCGGAAUGACUGGGCGUAAAGGGCGCGUAGGCGGUUCAUACAGUCAGAUGUGAAAUUCCCGGGCUUAACCUGGGGGCUGCAUUUGAUACGUGUGGGCUUGAGUGAGGAAGAGGGUUGUGGAAUUCCCAGUGUAGAGGUGAAAUUCGUAGAUAUUGGGAAGAACACCGGUGGCGAAGGCGGCGACCUGGUCCGACACUGACGCUGAGGCGCGAA
Molecule: ribosomal RNA, 234 nt
Filed under: uncultured bacterium
Lineage: Bacteria
Description: partial 16S ribosomal RNA
Rfam family: Bacterial small subunit ribosomal RNA
Source: RNAcentral